AAGUCGUAACAAGGUUUCCGUAGGUGAACCUGCGGAAGGAUCAUUAACUAAAUGAAAAAUAAUCCUUGUGAAUUAUAGGAGGAUUUCCUAUGGUAUAUAUAACUACAAGUAUGAAAAAUUACUCUAUAAUAAUUUUUAACAAUGGAUCUCUAGGCUCUU
Molecule: unclassified non-coding RNA, 159 nt
Filed under: fungal sp.
Lineage: Eukaryota; Fungi
Also listed under: 1 other name
Description: partial internal transcribed spacer region
Rfam family: Eukaryotic small subunit ribosomal RNA (bases 1-46)
Source: RNAcentral